GGGGGGGUAGGUGGAAGAGAGGAUAUUGCUGGGAUGUGGUUAGGAGCCUGUGUUUCGUAAACAGUCUUGUAGACACGUGAUGGGGACAUUUCUUCAUUCAAAAAGAACUGAAGCCCUUUCUCGGCAGAGCUCAGGAACAAUCGUGUUCACCAAGAGCAGUGACGCGCACCUGUUAUCCAAGCUGGGUGUGUGACAGAGGCAGGAGGAUCGCUCGAGUCCAGGAGCUUAAGACCAGCCUGGGUAACACAGACCUUGUGACUCUGCCUUAGGCGCUGACACACCAGGUAAAUAUUUAUGGAAUGAAUGUGUGGUAUUAACAGUGGAGACCAGGCUGGCUAAGGUGGACUUCCUGUUCCCACAAGAGAGCCUAAAUCUGUGCAGGGGGUAGAGAAAAGUCUGGAAGGCAAGCCCCAGAAACUAGCUGUAUCUAUGCCAUAUGAUUAUAUUUGAUUUUUCCCCUUGUACUUUGUUUAGUUUUGUUUUCAUUUUUGAGACAGUCUUACUAUGUAGCCCUUCACUGGGCUGGUACUUGCUAUGUAGACCAAGCUGGCCUUGAACUCAUAGAAAUUUAACUGCCUCUGCUUCCCAAGUGCUGGGUAUGAAGGUCCAUGCCACCACUCCUGGCUACUUUCUAUGAUUUUAAGUACUCAACUCCCUUUCAUCAUCAGGAACUGUAAUGUCAAAAUACAAUGACAUCUACGCCCAAUAUGAGGUUGGGUUUACCAAUGAAAAGAAGUCUUGGUGAGGGGGUUCCUCGUCCUUUAGAACUGACCUAAGCAAACAAAAUUAUUGAUUGUAAGAUUUUUUUUUGGCCGGCAGUGGUGGCACACACCUUUAAUCCCAGCACUCGGGAGGCAGAGGCAGGAGGAUCUCUGUGAGUUCGAGCCCAGCCUGGUCUACAAGAGCUAGUUCCAGGACAGCCUCCAAAGCCACAGGGAAACCCUGUCUCGGAAAAAAAAAAGUUUUUUUUUUUAAAUUACAUUUAUUAGUUUGGGGGGGUGUGCCUAUGCCAUGGCACACAAGUGGGGGUCAGAGGAAAACUUGGAGGAACUGAUUUUUUUUUCCACCAUGUGGGUCCCAGGAUCAAAUGCACAGGGGUCAGACUUGGCAGAAAGCCUUUCAUCCACUAAAGCCUCACUGGUUCAACUUUAUUCAGUGGGGUGACUUUUUGAAUUUUUAUUUUUACGUGUGUGCGUGUGUGUGUGUGUGUGUGUGUGUGUGUGUGUGUGUGUACUUGCUGGGUGUUGAAGCCCCUGGAACUGGAGUUACAGGCAGUUGUGAGUCUCAUGUGGGCUGGGUUCUGUAUUAGUGGCAUGCUCUCUUAACCCUGGAUGACUUCCAUUUGAACAAGGCCAAGGACAGUAGGUGGACAAUUAUUUUUAUAUCAAAUGCCACUCCAUUUCUCCCUGUAUAAUAAUGAUUCUCAUUAGUUCCCUUUUCCAAACAGCUUUCAGUCUCCAUAGGUGCCCACCCCCCCCAAACUCCUGAGAACCUCUCUCAUCCUCAGUCUAUGAGACCAUAACAAUGAUCACGGUGUUAUUUACUUAGCGUUGUGUGCCAGGCGUUUGGAUGCCUUUUCUUGUUCAGCAUCACAAGAACCCAGAGAGGUACAUAGUUUACAAUGGGGAACAUAAGCUUAAAGCCACACAGCCAGGAAAUGGCUGAAAGAAGUCCAGGCCCAGAUCUGUCUGUCCUCCAAGCCUGUGCCUUAUGGUCGGGUCCAAAAAAAAAAAGAGAGAUCCCCAGGGCAGUGAAAUGGCCCAGCAGGUAAAAGUGCUUGCCACUGGGAGAGCUGGCCUCAUCAGCUGCAGCACUCAGGAGGGUGGCCCCUACACCCGGGCUGGGGACACAGCAGAGCUGGCCCUGGAGAUAUAAGUGUAAAAGAACUGACCCCGAGGAUGGGAAGGCUAUUUUUAAAUUGGUCACAUUUGUUCUACGACUAGGUGAACUUUCUAGAAACGCUAUAGCUAACCUGGGAGAGCACUCACUGCUGAAGUGGGGUGCGAAACCAUCUCCCCCUACAUUGCUGAUGGAGAUGGAAACUGCACAGCAGCUUUGGACAAGUGUGUCUCUAGGUACCAAACAAACAUCGCUAUGUGACCCUGUCAUCACAUCCCCAGGCAUUCAUGACCCCUCAGAAACUGGUUGGAAGUUUUGUAAAUUUGGUGCAAUCUGGAACCGUUUUGUAAGAGAAGCCUCAAUUAAGGAAAUGCCUCCAUCAGACUGGCCUUUGGGCAAGCCUGGGAGGCAUCUCUUGGUUGACGGUUGAUGUGGGAGGGGUCAGCACGUUGAGGAUGGUGCCACCCCUGGGCAGGUGGUCCUGGGGGUGUUUAAGAAAGCUAACUGAGCAAGCCAGGAAGCCACGUUCCUCUGUGACCUCUGCUUCAGCCCCUGCCUUGAGUUCCUGAGUUGGCAUCCCUCAUGGCUGAAUUGCUAUCAGAACAUGCAAGCCAAAUAAAUCCUUUCCUCAAGUU
Non-coding RNA from Cricetulus griseus (Chinese hamster), 2474 nucleotides. The record is from RefSeq and is a predicted model, not a curated record. Lineage: Eukaryota; Metazoa; Chordata; Mammalia; Rodentia; Cricetidae.